AAUGAACGUUGGCGGCGUGGAUUAGGCAUGCAAGUCGAGCGAGAAUCGUAGCAAUACGAGGACAGCGGCGAAAGGGAGAGGAACACGUGGAUACCUACCUACAGGUUCAGGAUAGCUAUGGGAAACUAUAGGUAAUACUGAAUAAUAUCUCCGGAUGAAAGGAGUGAUUCGACCUGAGGAGGGGUCGGCGUCCUAUUAGCAAGUUGGUGGGGUAACGGCUCACCAAGGCGAAGAUGGGUACGGGAUGUGAGAGCAUGAUCCCGCUCAUUGGUACUGAGACACUGCCCAGACACCUACGGGGGGCUGCAGUCGAGAAUCUUCGGCAAUGGGGGAAGCCCUGACCGGGCGACGCCGCGUGCGAGAUGAAGGCCUUCGGGUUGUAAAUCGCUGUCAGUGGGGAGGAAAUGCUGGUGGGUUCUCCCAUCAGUUUGACCUAUCCGCAGAGGAAGGACGGGCUAAGUUCGUGCCAGCAGCCGCAGUAA
This 482-nucleotide ribosomal RNA is filed under the name uncultured bacterium. RNAcentral describes it as "partial 16S ribosomal RNA". It matches the Rfam family "Bacterial small subunit ribosomal RNA", at positions 29 to 523 of the family's 1533-position model. The record is from RNAcentral.